CCUACGGGGGGCAGCAGUGGGGAAUAUUGCACAAUGGGGGAAACCCUGAUGCAGCGACGCCGCGUGAGUGAAGAAGUAAUUCGUUAUGUAAAGCUCUAUCAGCAGGGAAGAAAAUGACGGUACCUGAGUAAGAAGCCCCGGCUAACUACGUGUCAGCAGCCGCGGUAAUACGUAGGGGGCAAGCGUUAUCCGGAUUUACUGGGUGUAAAGGGAGCGUAGACGGCAGUGCAAGUCUGGAGUGAAAGGCGGGGGCUCAACCCCCGGACUGCUCUGGAAACUGUACGGCUGGAGUGCAGGAGAGGUAAGUGGAAUUCCUAGUGUAGCGGUGAAAUGCGUAGAUAUUAGGAGGAACACCAGUGGCGAAGGCGGCUUACUGGACUGUAACUGACGCUGAGGCACGAAAGCGUGGGGAGCGAACAGGAUUAGAUACCCCUGUAGUC
RNAcentral lists this ribosomal RNA (440 nucleotides) under uncultured bacterium. RNAcentral's name for it is "partial 16S ribosomal RNA". It matches the Rfam family "Bacterial small subunit ribosomal RNA", at positions 338 to 795 of the family's 1533-position model. The record is from RNAcentral.